RNAcentral lists this ribosomal RNA (500 nucleotides) under uncultured bacterium. RNAcentral describes it as "partial 16S ribosomal RNA". It matches the Rfam family "Bacterial small subunit ribosomal RNA", at positions 30 to 523 of the family's 1533-position model. The record is from RNAcentral.
AUUGAACGCUGGCGGAAUGCUUUACACAUGCAAGUCGAACGGCAGCACGGACUUCGGUCUGGUGGCGAGUGGCGAACGGGUGAGUAAUGUAUCGGAACGUGCCCAGUCGUGGGGGAUAACGUAGUGAAAAUUACGCUAAUACCGCAUACGAUCUAUGGAUGAAAGCGGGGGAUCGCAAGACCUCGCGCGAUUGGAGCGGCCGAUAUCAGAUUAGGUAGUUGGUGGGGUAAAGGCCCACCAAGCCAACGAUCUGUAGCUGGUCUGCGAGGACGACCAGCCACACUGGAACUGAGACACGGUCCAGACUCCUACGGGAGGCAGCAGUGGGGAAUUUUGGACAAUGGGCGAAAGCCUGAUCCAGCCAUUCCGCGUGCAGAAUGAAGGCCCUCGGGUUGUAAACUGCUUUUGUACAGAACGAAAAGGUUUCUACUAAUACUAGGAGCUCAUGACGGUACUGUAAGAAUAAGCACCGGCUAACUACGUGCCAGCAGCCGCCGUAA